This 117-nucleotide small nuclear RNA is filed under the name Vicugna pacos (alpaca). RNAcentral describes it as "U4 spliceosomal RNA (ENSVPAG00000017559.1)". The record is from RNAcentral. Lineage: Eukaryota; Metazoa; Chordata; Mammalia; Artiodactyla; Camelidae.
AGCUUUGAGCAGUGGUAGCAUGGUCGCCUCUGAGGUUUAACUAAGGCACGAUGGUUACUGAUUGAAAACAUGAGACCAGAUUCCAGCCCCACCUCCCCCCAGUGGCAGGCUGAGGCU